ACACUGAGGCGUGACGACGAGGCACUACGGUGCUGAAGCAACAAAUGCCCUGCUUCCAGGAAAAGCCUCUAAGCAUCAGGUAACAUCAAAUCGUACCCCAAACCGACACAGGUGGUCAGGUAGAGAAUACCAAGGCGCUUGAGAGAACUCGGGUGAAGGAACUAGGCAAAAUGGUGCCGUAACUUCGGGAGAAGGCACGCUGACACGUAGGUGAAGUGAUUUACUCAUGGAGCUGAAGUCAGUCGAAGAUACCAGCUGGCUGCAACUGUUUAUUAAAAACACAGCACUGUGCAAACACGAAAGUGGACGUAUACGGUGUGACGCCUGCCCGGUGCCGGAAGGUUAAUUGAUGGGGUCAGCGCAAGCGAAGCUCCUGAUCGAAGCCCCGGUAAACGGCGGCCGUAACUAUAACGGUCCUAAGGUAGCGAAAUUCCUUGUCGGGUAAGUUCCGACCUGCACGAAUGGCGUAAUGAUGGCCAGGCUGUCUCCACCCGAGACUCAGUGAAAUUGAACUCGCUGUGAAGAUGCAGUGUACCCGCGGCAAGACGGAAAGACCCCGUGAACCUUUACUAUAGCUUGACACUGAACAUUGAGCCUUGAUGUGUAGGAUAGGUGGGAGGCUUUGAAGUGUGGACGCCAGUCUGCAUGGAGCCGACCUUGAAAUACCACCCUUUAAUGUUUGAUGUUCUAACGUGGACCCGUUACCCGGGUUGCGGACAGUGUCUGGUGGGUAGUUUGACUGGGGCGGUCUCCUCCUAAAGAGUAACGGAGGAGCACGAAGGUUGGCUAAUCCUGGUCGGACAUCAGGAGGUUAGUGCAAUGGCAUAAGCCAGCUUGACUGCGAGCGUGACGGCGCGAGCAGGUGCGAAAGCAGGUCAUAGUGAUCCGGUGGUUCUGAAUGGAAGGGCCAUCGCUCAACGGAUAAAAGGUACUCCGGGGAUAACAGGCUGAUACCGCCCAAGAGUUCAUAUCGACGGCGGUGUUUGGCACCUCGAUGUCGGCUCAUCACAUCCUGGGGCUGAAGUAGGUCCCAAGGGUAUGGCUGUUCGCCAUUUAAAGUGGUACGCGAGCUGGGUUUAGAACGUCGUGAGACAGUUCGGUCCCUAUCUGCCGUGGGCGCUGGAGAACUGAGGGGGGCUGCUCCUAGUACGAGAGGACCGGAGUGGACGCAUCACUGGUGUUCGGGUUGUCAUGCCAAUGGCACUGCCCGGUAGCUAAAUGCGGAAGAGAUAAGUGCUGAAAGCAUCUAAGCACGAAACUUGCCCCGAGAUGAGUUCUCCCUGAGACUUAGAGUCUCCUGAAGGAACGUUGAAGACGACGACGUUGAUAGGCCGGGUGUGUAAGCGCAGCGAUGCGUUGAGCUAACCGGUACUAAUGAACCGUGAGGCUUAACCUU
This 1396-nucleotide ribosomal RNA is filed under the name Salmonella enterica. Its description in RNAcentral is "partial 23S ribosomal RNA". It matches the Rfam family "Bacterial large subunit ribosomal RNA", at positions 1553 to 2925 of the family's 2925-position model. Lineage: Bacteria; Pseudomonadati; Pseudomonadota; Gammaproteobacteria; Enterobacterales; Enterobacteriaceae. The record is from RNAcentral. RNAcentral also lists the same sequence under 1 other name.